UAGGGAAUCUUCCGCAAUGGGCGAAAGCCUGACGGAGCAACGCCGCGUGAGUGAUGAAGGUCUUCGGAUCGUAAAACUCUGUUAUUAGGGAAGAACAAAUGUGUAAGUAACUAUGCACGUCUUGACGGUACCUAAUCAGAAAGCCACGGCUAACUACGUGCCAGCAGCCGCGGUAAUACGUAGGUGGCAAGCGUUAUCCGGAAUUCUUGGGCGUAAAGCGCGCGUAGGCGGUUUUUUAAGUCUGAUGUGAAAGCCCACGGCUCAACCGUUGAGGGUCAUUGGAAACUGGAAAACUUGAGUGCAGAAGAGGAAAGUGGAAUUCCAUGUGUAGCGGUGAAAUGCGCAGAGAUAUGGAGGAACACCAGUGGCGAAGGCGACUUUCUGGUCUGUAACUGACGCUGAUGUGCGAAAGCGUGGGGAUCAAACAGG
This 429-nucleotide ribosomal RNA is filed under the name Actinomycetes bacterium. Its description in RNAcentral is "Actinobacteria bacterium partial 16S ribosomal RNA". It matches the Rfam family "Bacterial small subunit ribosomal RNA", at positions 355 to 776 of the family's 1533-position model. The record is from RNAcentral. Lineage: Bacteria; Bacillati; Actinomycetota; Actinomycetes.